This 322-nucleotide ribosomal RNA is filed under the name uncultured bacterium. Its description in RNAcentral is "bacterial SSU rRNA". It matches the Rfam family "Bacterial small subunit ribosomal RNA", at positions 28 to 351 of the family's 1533-position model. The record is from RNAcentral.
GACGAACGCUGGCGGCGUGCUUAACACAUGCAAGUCGAGCGGGUAAGGCCCGUUUCGGGGGUACACGAGCGGCGAACGGGUGAGUAACACGUGGGUGACCUGCCCUCAGCUCUGGGAUAAGCCGUGGGAAACCGGGUCUAAUACUGGAUAUGACUCCAUGACGCAUGUUGUGGGUGGAAAGCCUUGUGCGGCUGAGGAUGGGCCCGCGGCCUAUCAGCUUGUUGGUGGGUGANGGCCUACCAAGGCGACGACGGUAGCCGGCCUGAGAGGGCGACCGGCCACACUGGGACUGAGACACGGCCCAGACUCCUACGGGAGGCAG